Molecule: non-coding RNA, 579 nt
Organism: Pelobates cultripes (western spadefoot toad)
Lineage: Eukaryota; Metazoa; Chordata; Amphibia; Anura; Pelobatidae
Source: the annotation of a GenBank genome assembly
UUUAUACUAAGUGAUCCAUAGGUUGAGGAGGCGGUGACCAUGGCGGUGUAGGUGGAAGCAGCAGUGGUGGAGGAGGAUGAGGUAGCCAACACUGUUUUUUAUGUCUUUUUUUAAUUUUUUUAUUGUGGUAGCCCACAAAAUAUUGGGAUAUAUAAAAAAACGACAACUCUGUUGCGCAGAGUAGCUGUUGACAUUAUAGUUGCGCAGGCACUUUGUUGACUCUAGAGAACCUCGGGCCGAUCGCACAUCCUCGUGGCGGCGACUUUGCAUGUGGAUGUCAUCCAUAUCAACUUUCGAUGCCAGUUUCUGCGCCUACCAUGGUGACCAAGGGUAAUGGGGAAUCAGGGUUCCAUUCCGUACAGGGACCCUGAGAAACGGCUACCACAUGCAAGGAAGGCAGCAGGGGCACAAAUGACCCAUUCCCGACGCGGGAAGGUAGUGAUGAUAAAUAACAAUACAGGACUCUUUAGAGGCCCUGUAAUUGUAAUGAGUCCACUUGAAAUCCUUUAACUCUGAUCAAUUGGAGGGAAGUCUGGUGCAAAACCACUGACCCAUGCGUGUUGCAGCUGAAACUCCACU